Molecule: ribosomal RNA, 255 nt
Filed under: uncultured bacterium
Lineage: Bacteria
Description: partial 16S ribosomal RNA
Rfam family: Bacterial small subunit ribosomal RNA
Source: RNAcentral
GACGGAGGGUGCUAGCGUUGUUCGGAAUCACUGGGCGUAAAGGGCGCGUAGGCGGCCUGGCAAGUCGGCUUUGUGAAAGCCCGGGGCUCAACCCCGGAGGUGCGGCCGAGACUGCGAGGCUGGAGGCCGGAAGAGGAGGGUGGAAUACCCAGUGUAGAGGUGAAAUUCGUAGAUAUUGGGUGGAACACCGGUGGCGAAAGCGGCUCUCUGGUCCGGUACUGACGCUGAGGCGCGAAAGCUAGGGGAGCAAACGGG